This 251-nucleotide ribosomal RNA is filed under the name uncultured prokaryote. RNAcentral's name for it is "partial 16S rRNA". It matches the Rfam family "Bacterial small subunit ribosomal RNA", at positions 525 to 775 of the family's 1533-position model. The record is from RNAcentral.
ACAGAGGUCCCAAGCGUUGUUCGGAUUCACUGGGCGUAAAGGGUGCGUAGGUGGCGGCGCAAGUUUGAUGUGAAAUCUCCGGGCUUAACCCGGAAACUGCAUUGAAUACUGUACUGCUAGAGGGUCGGAGGGGAGACUGGAAUUCUCGGUGUAGCAGUGAAAUGCGGAGAUAUCGGGGGGAGCACCAGUGGCGAUAGCAAGUCUCUGUUCGACUCCUUACUCUGAGGCGCGAAAGUUAGGGGAUCAAACAG